UAUCUACCAACUAACCCCUCUACUGAGACAAGUAAAGAUGUAUCAUAUCUACCAAAUAACCCUGCUACGCAGCGAAGUAAAGCUGGAAGUCCAAUCUUGUCCAGUUUCCAGUGCAGAGAUGUGGAUCACAUUGAUGUAUUUAAUGACCACUCUGGGGACAUGAAGCUAGAGAUGACAAGGGCGUUGGACGGAGACAACAUGACCUGCUUUCAGCUACCCCUACAGGAUGAACAAACCCCCUUCUUCCUGGUCCGGAUAUUCGUACCUGAAACCUUUGGGAUUAAGGCUAUUCCAUAUGAUAUCACCAUAACAGGAAAUGGACUGUCAUGUGAUAGGCACUCCAUCGCGAGGAUGA
Molecule: long non-coding RNA, 355 nt
Organism: Saccostrea cuccullata (small rock oyster)
Lineage: Eukaryota; Metazoa; Mollusca; Bivalvia; Ostreida; Ostreidae
Exons: 3
Source: RefSeq, a predicted model, not a curated record